RNAcentral lists this transfer RNA (73 nucleotides) under Ovis aries (sheep). It matches the Rfam family "tRNA". From Rfam's summary of the family: Transfer RNA (tRNA) molecules are approximately 80 nucleotides in length. Their secondary structure includes four short double-helical elements and three loops (D, anti-codon, and T loops). Lineage: Eukaryota; Metazoa; Chordata; Mammalia; Artiodactyla; Bovidae. The record is from Rfam by way of RNAcentral.
UCCCUGGCAGUUCAGUAGUGAAAAGACUGUGCUUCCAAUGCAGGGGGCCUGGGUUCAAUCCCCGGUCAGGGAA